Capsicum annuum is the source of this 826-nucleotide long non-coding RNA. RefSeq lists it as uncharacterized. Lineage: Eukaryota; Viridiplantae; Streptophyta; Magnoliopsida; Solanales; Solanaceae. The transcript has 2 exons. The record is from RefSeq and is a predicted model, not a curated record.
UAGCACGCCAUCUCAUAUCUAAAAAAAAUAUGCUAACCACAUGGUCCUCUCAACUCUACUUUAACAUAUAUAAAAAAAUAAAAAACCUAGUUAAUAUUUUUUAAAAAAGAAAAAAGAAAAACAUCAAAUAUAAAGCUAAAUUGAACCUUGAGGAAAAAAUAUCCAAAAGAAAAAUAUGGCUGAAGAUAUGAAGAACAACAUUGAAGAUCUAUCAACUAAACCUCCCACUCCAAGUGAAGAACCAACUAAAGAAUCAGAAAAUGCACAAGGAGAAGUAGUAGAGAAAGAUGAAGCCAAAAAAGCAGAAGAUGAGAAGUUGAUACAUGUAGUUGGAAGAGCAAAAGUGCCUACACCUCCUGGCAAAAGACCUGGUCCUAGCAUUGGUUGAAAUCUAAGUUGCUCGGACUUUCUAAAAAUAUUGUUACGUUGGGGUUGGAUUUUUUAAAAAUAUACUAUUUUUGAAAAGUCCGACAUGCACUCGUUAAUAUUUUUAAAAAGUUCGAAUAACAUAGAUUGAAAUAAUAUAUAUAUACAACCUUUGGAAAUUCCUAUAUUGUUGUUGGUCAUGUGUUGGUGCCUCUUUAAUUUCCUUGUGUGUUUGUGUGUAUUUGUUGAUCUUAUUUUUUAGUUUGAGUUUUUUACUUUAUCAAUAAUAUGAUGGGGGACAAUGUGUGAUAGUACAACUUGUGUUUUGAGCAUGGUGUGAUUAUCAGUGAGUGGGGAUUCAGAAUUUAAGUUUAUAAGUUUUGAAUUUAAUAUUUAUUAGAUGUAUAACGUUUUCAUUUUAUUUUGUUUGAUCAUAAUAUAAAAAGUAGAUUUCUUUUUA